UACGUAGGGUGCAAGCGUUGUCCGGAAUUAUUGGGCGUAAAGAGCUCGUAGGCGGUUUGUCACGUCGGCUGUGAAACCCCGAGGCUCAACCUCGGGCCUGCAGUCGAUACGGGCAGACUAGAGUAUGGCAGGGGAGACUGGAAUUCCUGGUGUAGCGGUGAAAUGCGCAGAUAUCAGGAGGAACACCGGUGGCGAAGGCGGGUCUCUGGGCCAUAACUGACGCUGAGGAGCGAAAGCGUGGGGAGCGAACAGG
This 253-nucleotide ribosomal RNA is filed under the name uncultured bacterium. RNAcentral's name for it is "partial 16S ribosomal RNA". It matches the Rfam family "Bacterial small subunit ribosomal RNA", at positions 524 to 776 of the family's 1533-position model. The record is from RNAcentral.